This is a small nuclear RNA of Protopterus annectens (West African lungfish), 104 nucleotides long. Lineage: Eukaryota; Metazoa; Chordata; Ceratodontiformes; Protopteridae. The record is from RefSeq and is a predicted model, not a curated record.
UUGCUUUGGCAGCACAUAUACAAAAACUGGAACAAUACAGAGAAGAGUAGCAUGACCCCUUUCACAAGGAUGACAUGCAAAUUUAUGAAGUUUUCCAUAUUUUG